Paralichthys olivaceus (Japanese flounder) is the source of this 281-nucleotide non-coding RNA. NCBI's taxonomy places the organism in Eukaryota, Metazoa, Chordata, Actinopteri, Pleuronectiformes, Paralichthyidae. The record is from RefSeq and is a predicted model, not a curated record.
CGGGAAGCGGCGAUGCAAACAGCUGUUCGCUGGCCCCGUGUGUUUGUAGCCUAUCAUGAGCUAACUCUCCUGACAGCUUCGCCACCUCGUCGCUCCAGGAAACAUCUGAUGCCUGUUGCUUCUCCACUGAGGGUUUCUUCUCGUCGGCUUCCAACCUGAGCUCCGGAGCGGAGGAGGACGUUUCCAGCCGCCGAUGUUAGCUCCUGCUUCACCACGGGCAUUGGAACAGCUUGACGCCUAUUUUCAAUUGUGCUGUGUAGGUGUCAAGGACAACUCUCGCA